Small nuclear RNA from Vulpes vulpes (red fox), 105 nucleotides. The record is from Ensembl. Lineage: Eukaryota; Metazoa; Chordata; Mammalia; Carnivora; Canidae.
GUGCUCACUUGGGCAGCAUGUAUACCAAAAAUUUGAACAAUGAAGAGAUUAGCAUGCCCCCUGUGCUAAGAAGACAUGCAAAUCUGUGAAGUGUUCCAUGUAUAA